CCUACGGGUGGCAGCAGUGGGGAAUAUUGGACAAUGGGGGCAACCCUGAUCCAGCCAUGCCGCGUGUGUGAAGAAGGCCCUCGGGUUGUAAAGCACUUUCAGUGAGGAAGAACGCCUGGUGGUUAAUACCCAUCAGGAAAGACAUCACUCACAGAAGAAGCAACGGCUAACUCCGUGCCAGCAGCCGCGGUAAUACGGAGGGUGCGAGCGUUAAUCGGAAUUACUGGGCGUAAAGCGCGCGUAGGUGGCUUGAUAAGCCGGUUGUGAAAGCCCCGGGCUCAACCUGGGAACGGCAUCCGGAACUGUCAAGCUAGAGUGCAGGAGAGGAAGGUAGAAUUCCCGGUGUAGCGGUGAAAUGCGUAGAGCUCGGGAGGAAUACCAGUGGCGAAGGCGGCCUUCUGGACUGACACUGACACUGAGGUGCGAAAGCGUGGGUAGCAAACAGGAUUAGAUACCCGAGUAGUC
RNAcentral lists this ribosomal RNA (465 nucleotides) under Vreelandella stevensii. RNAcentral describes it as "partial 16S ribosomal RNA". It matches the Rfam family "Bacterial small subunit ribosomal RNA", at positions 338 to 795 of the family's 1533-position model. Lineage: Bacteria; Pseudomonadati; Pseudomonadota; Gammaproteobacteria; Oceanospirillales; Halomonadaceae. The record is from RNAcentral.